AAGUCGUAACAAGGUUUCCGUAGGUGAACCUGCGGAAGGAUCAUUAACACGUAGUUGCUUUUCAACCCCUGUGAACUUGUCUGGAAGGUGUGCGAGCUUUGAUGGCCUAAAUCAGCCGCCGUAUGUUGACUAGGCUGUUGCCAAGUGUUUGCGCGGUCUGCGUGACUUCGCUACACAAGGCAUCUCCACACUGAGUACGGCCCCCCUUUUUUGUCGUUUACUAAAUGAACUAAAUGUUACGGAUGGAACCAAGGGACUGCGGUUCUUUGGCAUCGUCUGAUUAGCAAACUGUUACAACUCUUAGCAACGGAUAUCUUGGCUCUC
RNAcentral lists this unclassified non-coding RNA (324 nucleotides) under fungal sp. RNAcentral describes it as "partial internal transcribed spacer region". The stretch from base 1 to 46 matches the Rfam family "Eukaryotic small subunit ribosomal RNA", at positions 1786 to 1831 of the family's 1831-position model. The record is from RNAcentral. Lineage: Eukaryota; Fungi.